CCUACGGGAGGCAGCAGUGGGGAAUAUUGGACAAUGGGGGGAACCCUGAUCCAGCCAUGCCGCGUGUGUGAAGAAGGCCCUCGGGUUGUAAAGCACUUUCAGUGAGGAAGAACGCCUGGUGGUUAAUACCCAUCAGGAAAGACAUCACUCACAGAAGAAGCACCGGCUAACUCCGUGCCAGCAGCCGCGGUAAUACGGAGGGUGCGAGCGUUAAUCGGAAUUACUGGGCGUAAAGCGCGCGUAGGUGGCUUGAUAAGCCGGUUGUGAAAGCCCCGGGCUCAACCUGGGAACGGCAUCCGGAACUGUCAAGCUAGAGUGCAGGAGAGGAAGGUAGAAUUCCCGGUGUAGCGGUGAAAUGCGUAGAGAUCGGGAGGAAUACCAGUGGCGAAGGCGGCCUUCUGGACUGACACUGACACUGAGGUGCGAAGGCGUGGGUAGCAAACAGGAUUAGAUACCCGGGUAGUC
Molecule: ribosomal RNA, 465 nt
Filed under: Vreelandella stevensii
Lineage: Bacteria; Pseudomonadati; Pseudomonadota; Gammaproteobacteria; Oceanospirillales; Halomonadaceae
Description: partial 16S ribosomal RNA
Rfam family: Bacterial small subunit ribosomal RNA
Source: RNAcentral